Molecule: ribosomal RNA, 466 nt
Filed under: uncultured bacterium
Lineage: Bacteria
Description: partial 16S ribosomal RNA
Rfam family: Bacterial small subunit ribosomal RNA
Source: RNAcentral
CUACGGGGUGCAGCAGUGGGGAAUAUUGGACAAUGGGGGAAACCCUGAUCCAGCAAUGCCGCGUGUGUGAAGAAGGCCUGCGGGUUGUAAAGCACUUUCGGUUGGGAGGACUGCUUCUAGCACUAAUAUUGUUGGAAGUUGACGUUACCUUCAGAAGAAGCACCGGCUAACUCCGUGCCAGCAGCCGCGGUAAUGACGGAGGGUGCAAGCGUUAAUCGGAAUUACUGGGCGUAAAGCGCGCGUAGGCGGCUAGAUCAGUCGGGUGUGAAAGCCCCGGGCUUAACCUGGGAACUGCAUCCGAUACUGUCUAGCUUGAGUACAGGAGAGGAGAGUGGAAUUCCACAUGUAGCGGUGAAAUGCGUAGAUAUGUGGAGGAACACCAAUGGCGAAGGCAGCUCUCUGGCCCGAUACUGACGCUGAGGUGCGAAAGCGUGGGGAGCAAACAGGAUUAGAUACCCUCGUAAUC